UACGACUACAUAUCAGGCAUAUCAAUAAGCGGAGGAAAAGAAACUAACAAGGAUUCCCUUAGUAACGGCGAGUGAAGCGGGAAGAGCUCAAAUUUGAAAUCUUCAAGGUUUUACCUUGACGAAUUGUAGUUUAAAGAAGUGUUUUCUGUUGGAGUUUCGGUAAAAGUUCUUUGGAAUAGGACAUCAUAGAGGGUGAGAAUCCCGUAUUUGACCGUUACUUUCCAGCUGUGUGAUACACUUUCAAAGAGUCGGAUUGUUUGGGAAUGCAGUCCAAGAAUGGGUGGUAAAUUUCAUCUAAAGCUAAAUAUUGGCGAGAGACCGAUAGGCGAACAAGUACCGUGAGGGAAAGAUGAAAAGAACUUUGAAAAGAGAGUUAAACAGUACGUGAAAUUGUCAAAAGGGAAGCGUUUGACACCAGUGUUGUUUAGUUGAAAAUCAAUUCAAUAGUUUUUGAUUCUAAGUAGUAUUGACUUCAUCAGCUUGCUGCUUUCUUCUCAGAAAUUAUUGAAUGCACUUUUCAGUUAACAAGUCAACAUCAAUUUCUUUUGUUGUAAAAGGGUAAGAGGAAGGUGGCUUGCGCUUCGGCUCAAGUGUUUAUAGCCUUUUAUCUCUGCAAUCGGAGAGAUUGAGGUCUGCAGCGUAGAUCCUUCGGGGUUAGAUACAUUGGUGCUAAGCUAUAGCCUUGUAUAGACAACUUGUUGACUAUGCUCAGUCAUGUAGCUUACUCGCUGAUGCUAUUUUACCUACGCUUAGGAUGUUGAGUAGCGACAUACGCAC
This 777-nucleotide ribosomal RNA is filed under the name uncultured Neocallimastigales. RNAcentral describes it as "partial large subunit ribosomal RNA". It matches the Rfam family "Eukaryotic large subunit ribosomal RNA", at positions 24 to 649 of the family's 3401-position model. The record is from RNAcentral. Lineage: Eukaryota; Fungi; Neocallimastigomycota; Neocallimastigomycetes; Neocallimastigales.